Diaporthe ampelina is the source of this 83-nucleotide non-coding RNA. Lineage: Eukaryota; Fungi; Ascomycota; Sordariomycetes; Diaporthales; Diaporthaceae. The record is from Rfam.
GGUCGGCUGGCGCAAUGGUAGCGUGUAUCACUCCUAUUAAAGAAGCGAUGAUGAGGUUUUGGGUUCGAGUCCCAAGUCGAUCG